GAUGAACGCUGGCGGCGUGCCUAAUACAUGCCAGUCGAGCGAACAGACGAGGAGCUUGCUCCUCUGACGUUAGCGGCGGACGGGUGAGUAACACGUGGAUAACCUACCUAUAAGACUGGGAUAACUUCGGGAAACCGGAGCUAAUACCGGAUAAUAUAUUGAACCGCAUGGUUCAAUAGUGAAAGACGGUUUUGCUGUCACUUAUAGAUGGAUCCGCGCCGCAUUAGCUAGUUGGUAAGGUAACGGCUUACCAAGGCAACGAUGCGUAGCCGACCUGAGAGGGUGAUCGGCCACACUGGAACUGAGACACGGUCCAGACUCCUACGGGAGGCAGCAGUAGGGAAUCUUCCGCAAUGGGCGAAAGCCUGACGGAGCAACGCCGCGUGAGUGAUGAAGGUCUUCGGAUCGUAAAACUCUGUUAUUAGGGAAGAAUAAAUGUGUAAGUAACUAUGCACGUCUUGACGGUACCUAAUCAGAAAGCCACGGCUAACUACGUG
Molecule: ribosomal RNA, 497 nt
Filed under: uncultured bacterium
Lineage: Bacteria
Description: partial 16S ribosomal RNA
Rfam family: Bacterial small subunit ribosomal RNA
Source: RNAcentral